AACCAUUCUCACCUGCGGCUAGACCUGCGGAAGGAUCAUUACAGAGUGUAACCCCCUGUAAAAUGGGGGUACCUCCCGUCCUUUGCAGGCCCUUUAGGGUCUUUUACACUUUGCUUCGGUGGGGUAACCCACCGGAACACUCUCAAAAAAUUCUGAUUUUAAAAUUGUUCAGUCUGAGAAUUUUGAAAAUAAAAUAAAAACUUUCAACAACGGAUCU
Molecule: unclassified non-coding RNA, 217 nt
Filed under: soil metagenome
Description: partial contains 5.8S ribosomal RNA, internal transcribed spacer 2, and large subunit ribosomal RNA
Source: RNAcentral